This 458-nucleotide ribosomal RNA is filed under the name uncultured Glomus. Its description in RNAcentral is "SSU rRNA". It matches the Rfam family "Eukaryotic small subunit ribosomal RNA", at positions 569 to 1032 of the family's 1831-position model. Lineage: Eukaryota; Fungi; Glomeromycota; Glomeromycetes; Glomerales; Glomeraceae. The record is from RNAcentral.
AGCAGCCGCGGUAAUUCCAGCUCCAAUAGCGUAUAUUAAAGUUGUUGCAGUUAAAAAGCUCGUAGUUGAAUUUCGAGAUCAAAUUGUUGGUCGUGCCUAGGUACGUACUGGCAUUGUUGGUUUCUCCCUUCUGACGAACCAUGAUGUCAUUUAUUUGGUGUCGUGGGAAAUCAGGACUGUUACUUUGAAAAAUUAGAGUGUUUAAAGCAGGCUCACGCUUGAAUACAUUAGCAUGGAAUAAUGAAAUAGGACGUUUGAUUCUAUUUUGUUGGUUUCUAGGAUCGACGUAAUGAUUAAUAGGGAUAGUUGGGGGCAUUAGUAUUCAAUUGUCAGAGGUGAAAUUCUUGGAUUUAUUGAAGACUAACUACUGCGAAAGCAUUUGCCGAGGAUGUUUUCAUUAAUUCAAGAACGAAAGUUAGGGGAUCGAAGACGAUCAGAUACCGUCGUAGUCUUAACCA